This 301-nucleotide ribosomal RNA is filed under the name uncultured bacterium. Its description in RNAcentral is "partial 16S ribosomal RNA". It matches the Rfam family "Bacterial small subunit ribosomal RNA", at positions 509 to 807 of the family's 1533-position model. The record is from RNAcentral.
CAGCCGCCGCGGGAAUACGUAGGUGGCAAGCGUUGUCCGGAAUUAUUGGGCGUAAAGGGCUCGCAGGCGGUUUCUUAAGUCUGAUGUGAAAGCCCCCGGCUCAACCGGGGAAGGUCAUUGGAAACUGGGAAACUUGAGUGCAGAAGAGGAGAAUGGAAUUCCACGUGUAGCGGUGAAAUGCGUAGAGAUGUGGAGGAAUACCAGUGGCGAAGGCGACUCUCUGGUCUGUAACUGACGCUGAGGAGCGAAAGCGCGGGGAGCGAACAGGAUUAGAUACCCCAGUAGUCCCUGUCUCUUAUAC